UGGGGAAUAUUGCACAAUGGGGGAAACCCUGAUGCAGCGACGCCGCGUGAGCGAAGAAGGCUUUCGAGUCGUAAAGCUCUGUCCUAUGAGAAGAUAAUGACGGUAUCAUAGGAGGAAGCCCUGGCUAAAUACGUGCCAGCAGCCGCGGUAAUACGUAUGGGGCGAGCGUUGUCCGGAAUUAUUGGGCGUAAAGGGUACGUAGGCGGUUUUUUAAGUCAGGUGUCAAAGCGUGGAGCUUAACUCCAUUAAGCACUUGAAACUGAAAGACUUGAGUGAAGGAGAGGAAAGUGGAAUUCCUAGUGUAGCGGUGAAAUGCGUAGAUAUUAGGAGGAAUACCGGUGGCGAAGGCGACUUUCUGGACUUUUACUGACGCUGAGGAACGAAAGCGUGGGUAGCAAACAGG
This 403-nucleotide ribosomal RNA is filed under the name Verrucomicrobiota bacterium. Its description in RNAcentral is "Verrucomicrobia bacterium partial 16S ribosomal RNA". It matches the Rfam family "Bacterial small subunit ribosomal RNA", at positions 355 to 776 of the family's 1533-position model. Lineage: Bacteria; Pseudomonadati; Verrucomicrobiota. The record is from RNAcentral.